UGGCUCAGUUGUGUAGAGCAUGGUGUUUGCAACGCCAGGGUUGUGGGUUGGAUUCCCAC
Molecule: transfer RNA, 59 nt
Filed under: Salmo salar (Atlantic salmon)
Lineage: Eukaryota; Metazoa; Chordata; Actinopteri; Salmoniformes; Salmonidae
Rfam family: tRNA
About the family: Transfer RNA (tRNA) molecules are approximately 80 nucleotides in length. Their secondary structure includes four short double-helical elements and three loops (D, anti-codon, and T loops).
Source: Rfam by way of RNAcentral